CCUACGGGAGGCAGCAGUGAGGAAUAUUGGACAAUGGGCGCAAGCCUGAUCCAGCCAUGCCGCGUGCAGGAAGAAGCAUCUAUGGUGUGUAAACUGCUUUUGUACAGGAAGAAACACUCCCUCGUGAGGGAGCUUGACGGUACUGUAAGAAUAAGGACCGGCUAACUCCGUGCCAGCAGCCGCGGUAAUACGGAGGGUCCGAGCGUUAUCCGGAAUCAUUGGGUUUAAAGGGUCCGUAGGCGGUUUAAUAAGUCAGUGGUGAAAUCUGGUCGCUCAACGAUCAAACGGCCAUUGAUACUGUUAGACUUGAAUUAUAAGGAAGUAACUAGAAUAUGUAGUGUAGCGGUGAAAUGCUUAGAUACUACAUGGAAUACCAAUUGCGAAGGCAGGUUACUACUUAUGGAUUGACGCUGAUGGACGAAAGCGUGGGGAGCGAACAGGAUUAGAUACCCUGGUAGUCCACGCCGUAAACGAUGGAUACUAGCUGUUCGGAGCAAUCUGAGUGGCUAAGCGAAAGUGAUAAGUAUCCCACCUGGGGAGUACGUUCGCAAGAAUGAAACUCAAAUGAAUUGACCGGNGUGAGAGAGCGAGACGACGACGAGGGAGGAGG
This 610-nucleotide ribosomal RNA is filed under the name uncultured bacterium. RNAcentral's name for it is "bacterial SSU rRNA". It matches the Rfam family "Bacterial small subunit ribosomal RNA", at positions 338 to 951 of the family's 1533-position model. The record is from RNAcentral.